GGGAAUCUACCCAGAUCUACGGAACAACAGAGGGAAACUUCUGCUAAUACCGUAUACGCCCUACGGGGGAAAGAUUUAUCGGAUUUGGAUGAGCCCGCGUAAGAUUAGCUAGUUGGUGAGGUAAUGGCUCACCAAGGCGACGAUCUUUAGCUGGUCUGAGAGGAUGAUCAGCCACACUGGGACUGAGACACGGCCCAGACUCCUACGGGAGGCAGCAGUGGGGAAUAUUGGACAAUGGGCGCAAGCCUGAUCCAGCCAUGCCGCGUGAGUGAUGAAGGUCUUAGGAUUGUAAAGCUCUUUCACCGGGGACGAUAAUGACGGUACCCGGAGAAGAAGCCCCGGCUAACUUCGUGCCAGCAGCCGCGGUAAUACGAAGGGGGCUAGCGUUGUUCGGAAUUACUGGGCGUAAAGCGCACGUAGGCGGAUAUUUAAGUCAGGGGUGAAAUCCCGGGGCUCAACCCCGGAACUGCCUUUGAUACUGGGUAUCUUGAGUGUGGUAGAGGUGAGUGGAAUUGCGAGU
This 520-nucleotide ribosomal RNA is filed under the name uncultured bacterium. RNAcentral's name for it is "bacterial SSU rRNA". It matches the Rfam family "Bacterial small subunit ribosomal RNA", at positions 120 to 674 of the family's 1533-position model. The record is from RNAcentral.